AGUUUCACUUAAAGUCUGUAAUUUGUUUCUGUCAAAGUGUGUACAAGACCAGUAUCUUCUACAGUUAUUAAGAAAUGCAGACAGUAUCAGUACCUGGGUUGCUGCUGAAAUUGUAACGUGUCACACUUCAAAGCUGCAGGUGAGCUUGUUAUCAAAAUUUCUUCUUAUAGCAAAAUCCUGCUAUGAACAAAGAAAUUUUGCCACUGCGAUGCAAAUCUUAGCAGGCUUGGAAAAUCUUAUUGUUCGACAGUUACCAGCAUGGAAAAUUUUACCUGCAAAAGUAGCUGAAAUAAUGGAAGAACUCAAGGCUGUUGAGGUGUUUUUAAAAAGUGACAGCUUAUGUUUGAUGGAAGGAGAAAGGUUCAAAACACAUCCAACAAUUCCAUCAGCCCAUGUUUUGGCUAUGCAUGUCCAACAGCUUGAAACUGGAGGAUUCACGAUGACAAAUGGAGCUCACAAGUGGACUAAACUUAGAAAUAUUGCAAAAGUUGUGAGCCAAGUUCAUGCAUUUCAAGAGAAUCCCUAUACAUUUACACCAGAUUUCAAGCUGCAGUCUUACCUCAGACAAAGAAUAACUCGUUUUAAAGAUGCAGACAUUUCUGCCUUGGCAGCUGACAACUGUGCCAACUUCCAUCAGAUACCAGCAGAAAAGCAUUCUCGAAAAAUUCAAGACACACUGCGCAGGAUGAAGGCAACAUUUCAGUAAUUAUUUGCUUUUUAUCUGUUCUAUGCCAAGUGUAAAACUGCAUUAAGUUGACUACAUCUCCUGGACCAAUUCCCAAGCAAAUAGUUAAGUGAAGUGAAUUUCAACAUACUAUCUCAAGUUGAAAUGGAUAUAUUUCUUAACAUGGAAUUGUAAAACACUGUCUAAUGAGAUUGGAUUUCCUGGAUGACUUAUCAAAAGGAUAAAAAUAAAGAGAAAAGUAAAGAGAGGGUAUAGAUGAAAAGGAUAACUCAUUCUGUCACUGUUCUUUAUCAGAAAAAUAAUUAGUCCACAAACAAAUGUGGAAGAAAUACUGUGGAAAGAACUUAAAAUCACGGUUUCUGUUGCAAAGUUGGCCUAGGAGAGUUCAGAGUGUAGUUCAUUAGAUGUUGAAUAUAUUUUUAUAAAAACAUAGUGCAUUUGUACCCUGUCACAGUGUGCAUAUAAUUCAGGGGCACAAGUCCUCUGCUAUCCUCUAACUGUUGGUGGUUUUUUCUGUUAUGGCGUGUUUCAUGAAAACUAUACUUGAUUUAAAUAAUUGGCCAUCUUUUUCUUCAAACAUACUAAAGAAGGAGAGGAAUGCCAUGCUGAAACAUUUUGGUUUGCUUUUAAUGCCAUUGAACUAACCUGUUUCCAAAUAAAAGUAAGACCUGAAUCUAAAUAUUACCACUUUGUUGCUCUGGUUCUGCCUUUGUGGCAGAUGUGAAAUUGCUUGUUUCUGUCUGUACUUGGUGCAAGAGUCACUUUGCUGAUUUGUGUACGUAUGUGCACACAUUUGAUUAUAGCUUUUGCUCCUGACAUUACUUUACUAGACUGUAAUGCUGCAACAGCACUAAGUAAAGAUAACUGUGUGUGAAAUUUGGAUCUGCAUCUUGUGAAACUUUGGUGCUAACAUAUUUAUAGAGCUUAUG
This is a long non-coding RNA of Dromaius novaehollandiae (emu), 1614 nucleotides long. RefSeq lists it as uncharacterized. The transcript has 5 exons. Lineage: Eukaryota; Metazoa; Chordata; Aves; Casuariiformes; Dromaiidae. The record is from RefSeq and is a predicted model, not a curated record.